This 589-nucleotide ribosomal RNA is filed under the name uncultured Staphylococcus sp. RNAcentral describes it as "bacterial SSU rRNA". It matches the Rfam family "Bacterial small subunit ribosomal RNA", at positions 62 to 633 of the family's 1533-position model. Lineage: Bacteria; Bacillati; Bacillota; Bacilli; Caryophanales; Staphylococcaceae. The record is from RNAcentral.
CCGAGCGAACAGACGAGGAGCUUGCUCCUCUGAUGUUAGCGGCGGACGGGUGAGUAACACGUGGAUAACCUACCUAUAAGACUGGGAUAACUUCGGGAAACCGGAGCUAAUACCGGAUAACAUGUUGAACCGCAUGGUUCAACAGUGAAAGACGGUCUUGCUGUCACUUAUAGAUGGAUCCGCGCCGCAUUAGCUAGUUGGUAAGGUAACGGCUUACCAAGGCAACGAUGCGUAGCCGACCUGAGAGGGUGAUCGGCCACACUGGAACUGAGACACGGUCCAGACUCCUACGGGAGGCAGCAGUAGGGAAUCUUCCGCAAUGGGCGAAAGCCUGACGGAGCAACGCCGCGUGAGUGAAGAAGGUCUUCGGAUCGUAAAACUCUGUUAUUAGGGAAGAACAAAUGUGUAAGUAACUAUGCACGUCUUGACGGUACCUAAUCAGAAAGCCACGGCUAACUACGUGCCAGCAGCCGCGGUAAUACGUAGGUGGCAAGCGUUAUCCGGAAUUAUUGGGCGUAAAGCGCGCGUAGGCGGUUUUUUAAGUCUGAUGUGAAAGCCCACGGCUCAACCGUGGAGGGUCAUUGGAAAC